Molecule: ribosomal RNA, 1466 nt
Filed under: Gobulus crescentalis (crescent goby)
Lineage: Eukaryota; Metazoa; Chordata; Actinopteri; Gobiiformes; Gobiidae
Description: partial 16S ribosomal RNA
Rfam family: Bacterial large subunit ribosomal RNA
Source: RNAcentral
AACCCCAACAGCUAGCCCACCCAAGCAAAACAACAAACCCCAUCAAUAACCCUAAAAACAGUACCCCAAAUUUAACAAAACAUUUUUCCCCCUUAGUAUAGGAGAUAGAAAAGGGCCCCGGCGCCAUAAAAGAAGUACCGCAAGGGAAAGCUGAAAGAGAACUGAAACAACCCAGUAAAGGACAAAAAAGCAGAGACUAGCUCUCGUACCUUUUGCAUCAUGAUUUAGCGAGCACCUCCAAGCAAAGCGACCUGUAUGUUUGAGACCCCGAAACUGGGCGAGCUACUCCAAGACAGCCUAUUAUAGGGCAAACCCGUCUCUGUUGCAAAAGAGUGGGAAGAGCUUUGAGUAGAGGUGACAGACCUACCGAGCCUAGUAAUAGCUGGUUGCCUGAGAAUUGAAUAGAAGUUCAGCCUUUUGAAAUCUUUUUACCCCCUUGGAGACCCUUCCCCCGGCAAAAAGGACAUCAAAAGAGAUAUUCGUGGGGGGGACAGCCCCCUCGAACAAAGAUACAACUUUACAGCAGGCUAAGGACUAAAUCAAAAAAGGUAAAAUGCCCAGGUAGGCCUAGAAGCAGCCAUCCCAGCAGAAAGCGUUAAAGCUUAAGCAUUUAACCCCUCAGAUCCCAGUAAUGAUAUCCUAUGCCCCUACACCUAUCAGGCCCUUCCAUGCACCCAUGGAAAAGACACUGCUAAUAUGAGUAAUAAGAAAGAACUGCCUUUCUCCUCACCUCCGUGUAAUCAGAACAGACCCUAACUGAAAAUUAACGCCCCCAAUCACAGAGGGACCUAGGACACAACAAUUAAACUAGAAAACCCCCCAGACCCUAGCGUUAGUCCCACACAGGAAGGUAAAAGGAAAGACACAAGGAAAAAGAAGGAACUCGGCAAACAUUAGCCUCGCCUGUUUACCAAAAACAUCGCCUCUUGCAAACCCACUAUAAGAGGUCCCGCCUGCCCAGUGACGAAAGUUCAACGGCCGCGGUAUUUUGACCGUGCGAAGGUAGCGUAAUCACUUGUCUUUUAAAUGAAGACCUGUAUGAAUGGCAUAACGAGGGCUAAGCUGUCUCCUUUUUCUAGUCAAUGAAAUUGAUCUCCCCGUGCAGAAGCGGGCAUAAUCACAUAAGACGAGAAGACCCUGUGGAGCUUCAGACUAUGAAACAGACUAAGUUAAAUACCCUCUUUACCAGGACCAAACCAAGUAGUCCCUGUUUCAAUAUCUUUGGUUGGGGCGACCGCGGAGAAUCAAAAAACCCCCGCGCGGAAAGGGGCCCUCCCCGAAACUAGAGCCACAGCUCUAACAAGCAGAACUUCUGACCACUCAAGAUCCGGCACAAGCCGAUCAACGGACCAAGUUACCCCAGGGAUAACAGCGCAAUCCCCUUUUAGAGCCCAUAUCGACAAGGGGGUUUACGACCUCGAUGUUGGAUCAGGACUUCCUAAUGGUGCAGCCGCUAUUAAGGGUUC